RNAcentral lists this ribosomal RNA (481 nucleotides) under Akymnopellis chilensis. RNAcentral's name for it is "partial 16S small subunit ribosomal RNA". It matches the Rfam family "Bacterial large subunit ribosomal RNA", at positions 1830 to 2600 of the family's 2925-position model. Lineage: Eukaryota; Metazoa; Arthropoda; Chilopoda; Scolopendromorpha; Scolopendridae. The record is from RNAcentral.
GUCUUUAAGCUUUAUUAUUUAAAGUCGGGCCUGCCCUAUGAUUUUAAUGGCCGCAGUAUUUUGACUGUGCGAAGGUAGCAUAAUAAUUAGUCUAUUAAUUGUAGUCUGGAAUGAAUGGUUUGACAUGAAAAUGGCUUUCUAUUAGUGAAUAUGAAUUUAAAUAAUCAGUUAAAAUGCUGAUGUAUUUUAGGAGGACGAGAAGACCCUAUUGAGUUUAAUAUUUUAAUUUUUGGUGGUACUUUUUUAUGAAUAUUUUGUUGGGGCGACAAUGAAUUUUUUAACGUUUGUUUAUUUUUUUUCUUAUGGGAAUUUUUUGAUCCAUUAUUAAUGAUUAGUAGAUUAAAUUACCAUAGGGAUAACAGCUUAAUUUUAUUGGAGAGUUCAUAUCGAUAAUAAUGAUUGGGACCUCGAUGUUGGAUUAAGAUACCUUUUUGGUGCAGGAAUUAAAUAAGGUAGUCUGUUCGACUAUUAAAAUCUUACA